Molecule: transfer RNA, 86 nt
Filed under: Gemmatimonadota bacterium
Lineage: Bacteria; Pseudomonadati; Gemmatimonadota
Also listed under: 1 other name
Description: Gemmatimonadetes bacterium tRNA-Leu
Rfam family: tRNA
About the family: Transfer RNA (tRNA) molecules are approximately 80 nucleotides in length.
Source: RNAcentral
GCCGGAGUGAUGGAAUUGGUAGACAUAGGGGACUUAAAAUCCCCCGGGCCGAUAAGCCCGUGCCGGUUCGAGUCCGGCCUCCGGCA